RNAcentral lists this ribosomal RNA (430 nucleotides) under Pseudomonadota bacterium. Its description in RNAcentral is "Proteobacteria bacterium partial 16S ribosomal RNA". It matches the Rfam family "Bacterial small subunit ribosomal RNA", at positions 355 to 776 of the family's 1533-position model. The record is from RNAcentral. Lineage: Bacteria; Pseudomonadati; Pseudomonadota.
UGGGGAAUAUUGGACAAUGGGCGGAAGCCUGAUCCAGCCAUGCCGCGUGUGUGAAGAAGGCCUUUUGGUUGUAAAGCACUUUAAGCGAGGAGGAGGCUACUAGUACUAAUACUACUGGAUAGUGGACGUUACUCGCAGAAUAAGCACCGGCUAACUCUGUGCCAGCAGCCGCGGUAAUACAGAGGGUGCGAGCGUUAAUCGGAUUUACUGGGCGUAAAGCGUGCGUAGGCGGCUGAUUAAGUCGGAUGUGAAAUCCCUGAGCUUAACUUAGGAAUUGCAUUGGAUACUGGUCAGCUAGAGUAUGGGAGAGGAUGGUAGAAUUCCAGGUGUAGCGGUGAAAUGCGUAGAGAUCUGGAGGAAUACCGAUGGCGAAGGCAGCCAUCUGGCCUAAUACUGACGCUGAGGUACGAAAGCAUGGGGAGCAAACAGG